UUCCCAAUCAUGAGCCUCAGGCUCCAGGAAGGAAGUGGGAAUAGGUGGAGGCCUUCCUUAGAGGAGACCCUGGGUUCUCUUCUCUGAGUAACCACACCCUUCCUCCUUAUCCCAUCUCCUGGACUCCCGUCCUCAUGCUCUCACCUACUUUUCCUUCCUUCUGUCUCGGUGGAGGAGGGGUCCCUUCUCUCAGCCCCAGACUCUUCAAAAAGGACUUCCUAGUGUCAAAAAGACAAGUGACAACAAGGGUUGGUGAGGAUGUGGAGCAAAGGGGACCCCGCACUGCUGGUGAGGGUACAAACUAUAGAAAGGAUGGAAGCAUCUCAAAAAGUGAUGACUAGAACCACCACAUGACCCAGCAAUUCCACCUGCAGACAUUUUCAUAUAUGAACAGAACUUUUGGGACUGCCAUCAUGUAAGCAAGGAUUCUCCGUGAUGUCCAAGCCUCUGAGAACACAUGUGGACAACUGCCUACACCUGCAAAGGGCUCAGCCUAUUGAGCGUAGCCAUGUGACAGCUCUGGCCAGUGAGCAAACAGCAAAAUCUGCCCUGGGUUCAGGGAAACUUUUUUUUACUUCCCAGAUGAAAGGAGAGAGCCUGGCUAGCAUGGUCCUGUCCCCUUCUCCUUGCCUUAAGAACGAAUCCUGGAGGCACAGCAGCUGUCUUGCCACCAUGAGGCGACAAGCACAAGGACAAAAUCCAACACGGUGAGGUUGGCAGAACAGGAAAAAGAACCUGAGUCUUGGAUGACCCAGCCUGGCCUGCCCCCCACUUCCCAUCACCUUGUGAUGUGAGAAAAACCCAUCUCAGUCCAUUGGAUCCACAGGAAAGAGCAGCUUCACGGCCUCGGGUGGAAAUUGCGGCUAUACUACACCACAUCAGAAUGUGCUGUUCUCAUUUAUUUUUUAAUACAAACCCAUCUUUGCAUGUGGGCCCUGGCAGAAAAUUGGUGGUUACGAAAUAUUGACGAAGGAGGUAACAUAGGAGGGUUCCAGCAAAAUAGAGUACCCGUUCCAUUUGUUAAGUGGACAUGUCAAACUGUGUGGAAGAGCCGCAGGAAGGUCCGUCCAGCUGGCCUGUGCCUGCAGCCAGCUGAUGGUGUCCCUCGGUGCCAUCGCGCUCCUUCGAGAAGCAAUAAAAAUGGCAUCCACCGGGCAACAGCUGACAGAUGCAAAGUGAUGCUCUGCACGUUACCAGCUGUCAGGACACGGAGUGCGGCCCGGCCACGGCAGACCCUUCCUCUUUACUCCCAUCAUCCUGACCCCUCUGAGCCCACUCAUGGCAGACAUAUGGCAGCCAUUUGGACUUACUUCUCCUUUCCCUAUAUCCAAGUCACGUUGACGAUGGGGGAUUUACCACCGCCCAAAAUGGAGUGUUUAGCUUUCUUUCAGAUCAUUCCAAACUUGGGGACUGCUAAAAGUUUUGUAACUACAUAAAUAUUUAUCUGCAAUUUUUGGUUACUAUAUAAACAUAGCCAACAUGACACUGGCCCCAGAUGUAGUUAAGUCACAUAAGAGUCUUCCAGUUAUAAAAAAGGGGAGCUAACCAACAAAGGGCCUUGGAACUGAUUCUUUUGAUCAUGAAAUAUUGGGGCUGCUAUUUUUAAUGCUGGGCUUUUCAGAUACCAAAGUAUGUUUAUCCUUAACUCUAUAUAAAUAUUCAGACCUCACUUACUGUCCACCAGCCGGCUUGCUUGAGCAUGCCCUGCAUCACAGAGGCACGAGAAAGAAUGUGGAUGGGGUGAUACAAGGCUUUACCUCUAUAAAUAACCUCAGGCUAACAGAGGGAAGCUGAAGAUGGCAAAUGUCACUUUGGGCUUUGUCACCUGUGAGGGAAAGAGAUUAUUUUUUAUGUUCAAGUGUCAUAUGUUUAUACUUGUCGGUGGGUUCUGGUUGACACUUAAGGAUGUCGGUAAAAGAGCUGAAUGAAGCACCAAAUGUCCCAGAUGGUAGCCACUCAAGUACACAGACCUAGGAAAAUAUGGAGCGAAUAUCAUUGUGCAUUCUUUUUUUAAAAAGAUUUUAUUUAUUUACAGAGAGAACAAGAGCAUGAGGAGGGGUAGGGGCAGGCAGAGGGAGAAGUAGAAGCAGACCCCCUGCUGAGCAAGAAGCCCCCACACAGGACUUGAUCCCAGGACCCUGGGAUCAUGACCUGAGCCAAAGGCAGAUGCUUAACUACCGAGUCCAGGGGCCCCCAUGCAUUCUUUUCUUACUCCCUGUUUAGCAUAAAGUUAACCCUCUGAAGCCAAGGGGUGAAGCGGGUGGGGUUUGUGCUCUUCAGAGCUGUGGUCUCAGGAGGAGGUCCCUGGCCAGACCCCCCAAUCCUCCAUAGAAGGUGGUUGGUCCAGGGGUGCCUGGCACCACUACAGCACAUGACUCUUGAUCUCGGGGUUGUGAGUUUGAGCCCUACUUUGAGUGUAGAGAUUACUUAAAAAUAAAAUCCUAAAAAAGAAAAGAAAAAAAAAGAAAGUGGUUGGUCCCAGGAGAGGGCUUUGCUUGGCUUGGAUUCUGCUUCCUCUGCCCCAGCUGGGACUCACCUCCGUGAAACGGGGCAGGUUUGCUGGCUUAGCAAACUCUGGCAUAAUGCUAUCGAUGGUCCCAACAAGGAAGUAGCAGCAAGCCCUAGAAAUCUUGCAAACACAGCCCUGGUGAAGCUCCUAGUCACUGUGCCAGGGCCUCAUUUCUUUAAGAGACUUAGCUGGUGGGCGAUCUCUGUUGCUGGAACAUUAUUAUUCCCAUUCUGUACGGGAGUAAACAUUGACAGAGAAUGGUUUAAUGACAUGCUCCAAAUUUCUAGGCAUGCCAGAAGUAGAGGAAAAAUUGGCUGGAAUUUCUGAUUUUCAGACCCAUGCUUUAGCUAGGAGACUCAGCUUUCAACGGACAUGUUUUAAGUGCCCAGCAGGGAAAUAAUGCAGCAGAAUCUAGUAUCUUCUAGAAGCUUUGGAUGGAAGUUACCAAAGCUCACGCUAACGUUUUAACUUUCUCACCUCUACAUAGGCAUCUAGCAAUGAAUCAUCGUUUUCCUUCUCCUUGUGAGGGGCUGCAGUGUGGGGAGGGUGAGCAGCUCAGCCAGACACACACUUGUAGGGCUGAACCAUGACCAGAGCUCCUGGCCUCCUGACUCCAGACCAGUGCUUUCCCCAUGAUGCUAGAAAGUGACCAGCUAGACUCUGGGUGCCUGAAACACAUCUGUGGUGAUUGUGUGCUAUCUGGUAUCAGCUAAGUUUAGCGGAAAUUACAUUUCCAGAAUAUCUUUCUCUGUGUGAUGCUGGGUGAGAGUUAGCCCAAGGAGAAACAGGGGCCCAACCUGGAAGGUGGGAGUAAAGCAACAGCCACUCUUCUGUGAAGGCCGCUGUGGUUCAAUGGAGUGGCUGGGGCCCAAGGGCUGGGGACUCUGGCUCAUUCUUGCUCCUUUCCAUUCCACAUCCACUUUCUUUCUUGAAAAAAAAAAAACCACCUACUUUACUGAGGUGUGACUGACACCUAAAGAGCUGUAUGUGUUUCAUGCCUGUGACUUGAUGAGUCUGGAGAGAAGUAUCCACCUGUGAGACUAGCACAACAGUCUGCCAUAAACACAUCCAUUACCUCCAGAAACUUCCACUUACUCUCCUCACUUAUUAUGAUUCCUGUUAUUAUUUUGUGUGUGAUAACAUUAAACUCAGAUCUGCCCUCUUAGCAAGUUUGAGUAUACAAUACGGCAUUGUUAACCACAGGCGGUAUACUGUGCGGGAGAUGUCUAAGACUUUCUCAUCUUCACUGAGAUUUUCUACCCUUGACCGAUGUCUCCCCACUUCCCUCUCCUCCCAGCCCCACCACCAGAUGCAGAGGGGACAAUCCUCCGUG
Molecule: long non-coding RNA, 3842 nt
Organism: Canis lupus familiaris (dog)
Lineage: Eukaryota; Metazoa; Chordata; Mammalia; Carnivora; Canidae
Exons: 6
Source: RefSeq, a predicted model, not a curated record